UACGUAGGGUGCGAGCGUUAAUCGGAAUUACUGGGCGUAAAGCGUGCGCAGGCGGUCUGUUAAGACAGAUGUGAAAUCCCCGGGCUUAACCUGGGAACUGCAUUUGUGACUGGCAGGCUAGAGUAUGGCAGAGGGGGGUAGAAUUCCACGUGUAGCAGUGAAAUGCGUAGAGAUGUGGAGGAAUACCGAUGGCGAAGGCAGCCCCCUGGGCAAGAUUGACGCCUCAUGCACGAAAGCGUGGGGAGCA
This 247-nucleotide ribosomal RNA is filed under the name uncultured bacterium. Its description in RNAcentral is "partial 16S ribosomal RNA". It matches the Rfam family "Bacterial small subunit ribosomal RNA", at positions 524 to 770 of the family's 1533-position model. The record is from RNAcentral.